Molecule: ribosomal RNA, 253 nt
Filed under: uncultured bacterium
Lineage: Bacteria
Description: partial 16S ribosomal RNA
Rfam family: Bacterial small subunit ribosomal RNA
Source: RNAcentral
UACGUAGGGGGCAAGCGUUGUCCGGAAUCACUGGGCGUAAAGGGCGCGUAGGUGGCGCUCCAAGUCCGUGGUGAAAGCUCGAUGCUUAACAUCGAGUCGGCCACGGAGACUGGAGGGCUCGAGCACUGUAGGGGCAGAUGGAAUUCCGGGUGUAGCGGUGGAAUGCGUAGAGAUCCGGAAGAACACCGGUGGCGAAGGCGGUCUGCUGGGCAGUUGCUGACACUGAGGCGCGACAGCGUGGGGAGCAAACAGG